This 253-nucleotide ribosomal RNA is filed under the name uncultured bacterium. Its description in RNAcentral is "partial 16S ribosomal RNA". It matches the Rfam family "Bacterial small subunit ribosomal RNA", at positions 524 to 776 of the family's 1533-position model. The record is from RNAcentral.
UACGAAGGGGGCUAGCGUUGCUCGGAAUCACUGGGCGUAAAGCGCACGUAGGCGGCUUCUUAAGUCAGGGGUGAAAUCCUGGAGCUCAACUCCAGAACUGCCUUUGAUACUGAGGAGCUCGAGUCCGGGAGAGGUGAGUGGAACUGCGAGUGUAGAGGUGAAAUUCGUAGAUAUUCGCAAGAACACCAGUGGCGAGGGCGGCUCACUGGCCCGGUACUGACGCUGAGGUGCGAAAGCGUGGGGAGCAAACAGG